Molecule: long non-coding RNA, 651 nt
Organism: Rattus norvegicus (Norway rat)
Lineage: Eukaryota; Metazoa; Chordata; Mammalia; Rodentia; Muridae
Source: Ensembl
AUACCCACAGAGAGACGAAAUCCAGAAGGUUCGUCAGGUAACCCAGGAAAAGCCUCGUUCUGAGGAAGAUGCUCCUAAGAGAACAAGUGAAAUAGAGACAAAGAUGUUCUUCAGGUUCUGAGAUUCAAUCCAUUAUCAUCCUGGCAGAGAGCAGGCAGCCUCUAGGCAAGAACGGCACUGGAGGAGCUCAGAGUUCUACAUCUUGUUCUGAAGGCAAACAGGAGAAGACCGUCUCCCAGGCAGCUAGGAGAAAGGACCCUGCCCUGACCUGACCGCCUUCAAUGAUGAUCAGCGAUAUGGAAGUGUAAGCUGAAUAAAAGCUUCCCUCACUGUCUUCCCUCACUGUCAUGAUGUUUCAUCGCAGCGAUAGUUACCCUGACUAAAGCAGUGCCCAAGAAACUCCGACAUACCCUCCUCCAGGAAGCUUCCUAAGCCACCAUUGAAGACUCACCUUCUGUCAACUCAUCUUUCCUAAAUGGACUUGAGAUGCAAAUGAAAGCACAAAGUUAGUGUGUAAAGAAGGAUGGGGUGACUGGAAGACGCUAACUUACGGAGAGCUGAGUUUUCAGCUGGAAGCCGAAGUGGAAAUGCCUAACGAGAACUGUACCGAGCUGACUCGCACAUGCGCACUUGCUCUGUAAUAAAGGGUUG